Long non-coding RNA from Bradysia coprophila, 1040 nucleotides. The record is from RefSeq and is a predicted model, not a curated record. Lineage: Eukaryota; Metazoa; Arthropoda; Insecta; Diptera; Sciaridae.
AUUUUACACUAAAAAAUGCCAAAAAUUUCCGGUUAACCCGAACCGGACCUGAUUUAUUUGAAGAUCUCGGGUUCAGAACAGGUUCGGGUCAAACCCGAAAUGGAAAUUCGGGUUCGGGUCAAGUUCGGGUUGAACCCGAAUUCUUAGUUCAGGUUCGGGUCAAGAUCAAGUUCGGGUUCCGGUCUGACCGAACCCGACCCGUUCCGAGCCCUAUUCGGAAUAUCAAAUCGUAAAUUCAUGAAAUUCUAAUAAAUUCUGAAAAGUUCUUAAAUUUUAGUAUUUCAGGAAUUAAUUCUCAAAAGUUCUUAUGUUCCCAAAAAGUCUUAAAAAGUCUGAAAUUUAUUAAUUUUAAAAAACCUUUUCAAAAACAAAUUCCGAAUAAUAAGGGCUCUAAAGAAAUGGCGAGAGCAGCGUUUAGAGCAAUUGACCCUUUACAAAUUUGCAGCCUAUAUUCAGGCGGAAAAAUAUUCGUUUCUUGAUGACACAAUCUUCAAAGGUUUAUCCAUAUGGGAUAAGUUAUCACCCACAAACCAAUUUUUUCUUUAAAAGUAACACAUUUUUGCGUGCUUUAAUGGUUUUACUUUAUCAAAAGAAGAUUUUGGUUCAGAGAAAAUCAUCGAAAAACGAAUAUUUUUCCGCCUGAAUGAAGACUACAAAUUUGCAAAGGGUUGCUCUUAAUUUCAAUCUCCGAAUUUUAUGUCCAUCUUUUUAUGGGACUAUCACAUACGGGCAUAUUCGUAAUAUAACAUUCCAUAUAUUGAAACAGCAAAGAUAAACAAAAGACUUUUAUCCCAGCACCAUUUCAGUGCGAAUGAUUCCGUGAAUUGACAAAAUGACAUCUGUCCAGUCUAGUUUAUUGCUAGAAGUGCCUUGGUUUUAUUUAAACUUCUCGAACGGACUAUUGGCAUAAAAUUGAGUUUUGUUGGUCGUUUCAUUCGUUUCUGCCGUUUAACUGGAUAUUAACGCUUUUUUGUCGAAAUUAGUUGCACGACUCAUUUUCAAUGGCUUUCUUGUUUGGCAAAUUAAUUUUUCUUUUGUUU